Molecule: unclassified non-coding RNA, 3573 nt
Filed under: Hevea brasiliensis (rubber tree)
Lineage: Eukaryota; Viridiplantae; Streptophyta; Magnoliopsida; Malpighiales; Euphorbiaceae
Source: RNAcentral
AUAACUGGAAGAAACUAGGGGUCUCUCCCUUACACUGGUUACCUAUACAACUAUUCCACAUAUAUAUUUUGGAUUGAACACAUCUAGCCUUAUAUCUUAUUACUACAUGUUGCAAAGAAUAUCAAAACUAUAGAAACUUAAUUUAGAUCACCAGAUAACUCAUUUUAUCGCCAGUAUCCCUUAGCUACCACAGGAAUCCUUACUUUAUGCCCUCGGCUGCCUUUCAUGAAUAUUUCUCCAAAACUAUAUGUUCCAGUUACUGAUCGAACAGUGAGACUAACAGAGAACUUCCGUGAUGCACCGGGCUUUAGUGUCAUUGCUGAAGGGGUAGCUUCAAUGGCAAUAGAUGGUUGCAUUCUUGCUGUGAUCACAUAGGUUUCUUCCUCAGCAACAUUUGUAACCGUGCGAGUAACUGUUUGAGUUUUCACUAGAUGGGAUACAGUGAUUGAUGGGUUGUUGAAAUUUGAUGGAUGGCUCAUGGUGUAGUUGCAAGGAGAGUUUGUAUAGUUCUUAAUCGCAUGGGAAUCAAUUCCAGGUGUCGUGCAUAAGAACCCAAGGUAAUCCUCGUAACCUGCAUCAAAGAUUAGUCCAGGAUCCAGAGCAGCCCUUGGAUUAACAUGACCACUUCCGUAAUCAAAGGGGGUAGCUGUGACCAGCUUCAUGGCUUCUGUUUCAGAGUACUGUUGCGCUUGAAGAGGGCUUCCUGCUCUGUCCUGCAGUGUUGCUGUUGUCAUUAAGGCUGAUCUGAUGGCAGCAGGACUCCAAUGAGGAUGUUUCUGCUUCACAAGCGCAGCUAUCCCUGCUAUAUGGGGUGCAGCCAUACUCGUUCCAGAUAUCAUGGCAAAUCCUUCUCCUGCUCCAAGAAGUUAAAUGCAUAUUAUGCAAAUAUAAUUUUUUUUCCUUUAUGUUUGCUAUUAUAUGCAUGCUCUUUUAAGUUUUUAAAUUCAUACCCAAUAACAUGGGGAAAGAAAGAGAGAUUUUGAAUUUCAUAUAUUCUACUUCCUCGCACAAAAUGGAGCAUGAAUGAUUCAAGUGAAGGUAGCAAUAGGUUAGGUCAUUUUGAGUUUACAUAGGCUAGGAUCAUUCAAUACUCAAUAGGUCAAUUUAUAGGGAUUAAUUUCAAAUAUUCUGGAUUAGGCAAGUUAUUUUCACAAUUAUUUUGGUGUUUUUUACAUUAUUAUUUAUUUUGGACUCUAAAAUUAAAUUAUUUCAGGCCAUUCAUAUUAGUUGAGUAAUGACCCAAUUAACCUUCAAAUUUUUGGUUCAGGUUUUGACCUUAUGUCAUCGAAGGAAUUCAGGCUAGGUCAAAUAUCGUCAUCCCUAGCUUCAAGAGUUCAUCAUCUAGCUACAAGAGUUUAAGUCAGAGGACUCCAAGCAUUCAUCAUCGAGCUCCUUUAAAAGUGACCAAAGUAAGUGAUAUAAGUUAACAGGACUCCAAACCUCAUGAAACCUCUCCUCACGCCCUUGCCCUCCCAAUGUGCAUAAAGUUCCUUCAACUCUGCCACUCCUAAACUGACCAAGUUUUAAGGCAUUAACAUAGAGUAUACAGAAUUUGAUAAUUUAUUUACCAACAUAAUUUGGCUCGUCUGUUCCAUUUGGAGACCAAGCAGCCCAAAUAAGAGAACCGGGAGCCAAGAUAUCUGGCUUAAGAAGAUCAGCAUCUUGGAAGCUGAAAUCUUUUAUGUUGGGCCCUCGAGCAGAGAAUAAUGCCACCUGUGGUGCUGAUUUAUGGAGUAUAGGCAUCAAACCGUCACCAAUGCUUCCAGUAGCAUUGAAGCUCUUCACUCGUGCAGUCCAAUCUCUUGGUGUCGAAAUGUUGUAAUAAUCUAUAAGAUCCAUUGAUUUAGAGACUUCGGUGAUGAGAAUCCCAGGAAUACCAACAGGGACAGGAUCAAACUUUGUUCCUGGAGAAACAUUUUCCACAGCAAGAACAAAUCCAAUUGCACCAAGACUCUUGGCUGCUUCUGAAACCUUUUUUAUAGAUGCAGUACCAGCAACAAAAUUGAAGGAAUAGCCACAAAGAAGUAUAUUCCCCUUAACCAAGUUUUUGUUCAACACUUCUGGUCUCUGGCAGUCUGAAGGACUGUACUUCAUUACUGAAGAAUCUAGUAGUACAUCAUUUGCAGCAACCAAGGUAUAUGUUUGAUUUGGAUUUGUAGAGGGUGACAAUCCAAUUCCAGGUAAAAUUUUUCCAUUUCCAAGAGUCAGAUGGUUCUUGUAUCUCCGAUCAUCAAUGGCAGCUGCUACAGAUGUUAUCCAGGGACUAUAAGAAACCAAUGUUUUAGGGAAGGGACCUCCAUUACCAGCCGCCUGUGCAACAAAUACACCAGCUUUCACAGCUGCAAGAAGCGUAGCAUCAAAGGGAUUUAAAAAUGUUGUCUUGGUGGUUGCUGGAGGGCUAUUAGGACCCACUGAGAGAUUGAGUAUAUCAACUCCAUCAUGAACAGCCUGAUCAAUAGCAGCUACUACGUCUGCAAUAAAGCCUCCAAAAAGCCUGUAGAGUGCCUUAUAUACAGCAAUCCUAGCACGAGGAGCCAUCCCACUUGCUUUCCCAAAUUCAUGGUCAUGCAUUCUCACAGGAAUACCAUUAUUUCCUGCUGCAAUAGCAGCUAUAUGGCUUCCAUGUCCGUCACCAUCCAUGGGAGAAGCAAAAUCAAUAGAAGGGUUGAAAGCCCCAGCUGCUAUAGCAGCUUCAGCAAAAUGUUGGGCUCCAAUAAUCUUUCCAUUGCAAAAGUCUUUCUUAGUAUCAGGAUCAACUUCACAUUUUCCUCUGUACUGUGGAACAGGCUCAUAUGGAUCAGUGUUGUAUGUUGCAAAGCUUGGAUGGUGUGGAUAAAUUCCAGAGUCAACAAAUCCUAUCACAAUGUUCUCUCCAGCCCUGUCAAACCCACCUCCUGUUGGCCAAACACCAGUUGGAAGCCCCAAAAACUGUGGAGUAUGUGUUGUGAGUCUCCUCACCUUCCAAUCUCUCUCCACAGACUUCACUCCUGGGGCACACCUUAGGGUUUCUGCCUGUUCAGGGGAUAUAUGAACAGCAAAACCGUUUAUAAGAUGCCUAUAGCUGUAGAGUUUCUUGUACGUUCCAUGGUCCAACAGUGAACCAAGAAGCAUGUCAUGUUUCUCUUCAAGAUGCUGAGCAUAGGAUGUGACCAAUUGACUGGUGGUGUCAAUCUUCUCAUCAGUAUCUACAGCAAUGGGAUCAAAGCCAGGGACACCUCCUCUAUAACUUAUGACAGGCUCCCCAUCCACUGUAACAAUAUAAAUCUCUGGUUUCCCAGUAGGCAGGAGGACCAACAAAACAAGAAUUGAGCACAAAAGCUGAACCACCUUCAUUUUUAGUUACUCACAAGAUAGAAACGCAAGCAAGGAAUCAAAUCAGAAAGAAAGAAGAUGAGUCAAAGCAACAACUAAGGAAGCAAAAGAACGCAAAUGGCAUUUGGAUAAGAGAGAGCAUUAAAAGGGACAGAGACCCUCUCUAUCUCUCUCUCUCUGUUUGUGUGGGGGUAUAGAGUAUGGAGAUCAAGUGAGGCACAUCUGAUAGUGUUAAAGAGAGAAAGAGAAAGGAGGGUUUUU